This 460-nucleotide ribosomal RNA is filed under the name uncultured bacterium. RNAcentral's name for it is "partial 16S ribosomal RNA". It matches the Rfam family "Bacterial small subunit ribosomal RNA", at positions 338 to 795 of the family's 1533-position model. The record is from RNAcentral.
CCUACGGGCGGCAGCAGUGAGGAAUAUUGGUCAAUGGACGAGAGUCUGAACCAGCCAAGUAGCGUGAAGGAUGACUGCCCUAUGGGUUGUAAACUUCUUUUAUAAAGGAAUAAAACGAGGCACGUGUGCCUUUUUGCAUGGACUUUAUGAAUAAGGAUCGGCUAACUCCGUGCCAGCAGCCGCGGUAAUACGGAGGAUCCGAGCGUUAUCCGGAUUUAUUGGGUUUAAAGGGAGCGUAGAUGGGUUGUUAAGUCAGUUGUGAAAGUUUGCGGCUCAACCGUAAAAUUGCAAUUGAUACUGGCAGUCUAGAGUACAGGUGAGGUAGGCGGAAUUCGUGGUGUAGCGGUGAAAUGCUUAGAUAUCACGAAGAACCCCGAUUGCGAAGGCAGCUUACUAAACUGUGACUGACAUUGAUGCUCGAAAGUGUGGGUAUCAAACAGGAUUAGAUACCCGGGUAGUC